UGUCUCUCUGUGUAGCAGCAGGGUGACCCAGUAAGUGACCUGAUGGAAGUGGCAACCAGAGUGACUGUGAUUAGCCUGGAAGAUGUGUCUAAGGAAUCACUCCGUUCUCUAUUCCGGCUUCAAGAACGAGCAUCAGGGAGGACCAGAGCAAACAGGAGACCUGGAGACCUGGCGGGAGGUGGGACGUGUGAGCGCCUGAGGAGGCUGACCCAGAACUGUUGCUUGUAGUGCUGCUGGCCAGGAGGGAGGUCCGAUCAACGAGGCAGCUAUUUAAAGAUCUGGCAGAAGAUCCUGGUUCAGAUCUCCAGAGCAGCAUCUGAUGCCGCAGGCCAGGCUGCCCAGUAGGCUCAAAUUAAACGGACCUAGGCAACAAAGCAUCCAUCUUCCCUUUCUUGGACCCUGGCUGUGGGGACCCAGAGGUGUUGCUUCUGCAGACCCCAACGCUGGAAUCUUUUCUAGGCGCUUUUAACAUGCAAAUGGCUCUAGGAAGCAAUAUUAAUUCAAGACUUCUGAAUAGCUGGGAACCAGGGGGAGGGGAAGAGCUGUCGGAGUGGUGCCAGCUUCCUCCAACACAGGGGCAAAGGAUCCAGAAGCACCUCUGGGGUUCCCACCUUCAGCCGCUUCCCCCAAGGAACCAGGUUUUGUAGCACUACUUUGCUUGGAAGCUCCUGAAGGAAUCCUCUCUCGCCCUACUGGAGGACUUGGAACCAAUGUGGUGUCCGUUGUACACAGUUUAUUAGUCUACCACAGCUUCCAUAAGGCUUUAUCGUUGAGCUUUUACCGCUUUUCUGCCUAACCAACCCAGAGAGAACUGGUGCUGGAUGAGGCUACCUGGUUUCUCCUAGAGGAAGCCAGCUGAAGUAAGGAACCCCAAGUCCUCGUGCAUUCCCUAAGGAGGACCAACUGCACAGACCCAGUAGCUUACUCCUUAACCAGCUCUUUGAUCACCUUCCUUCGAUGGGUCCUUCCUGCCCUCUAGGUCUGUUCAAAACUCCUAAUACCUAAAUGGAACACAGACCUGAUCUCUUCCCUUACCCUCCUGAGCACCUUGCAGAACUUGUAAGCAAUCUUUUUUUCCUUUUUCUAAAGGUUUCGUUAACCUGCUUCUGCCUUUGGGAUUAAAGGCUUGUUCUGCCAUGCCAA
Non-coding RNA from Rattus norvegicus (Norway rat), 1143 nucleotides. The record is from RefSeq and is a predicted model, not a curated record. NCBI's taxonomy places the organism in Eukaryota, Metazoa, Chordata, Mammalia, Rodentia, Muridae.